AUUGAACGCUGGCGGCAUGCCUUACACAUGCAAGUCGAACGGCAGCACGGGUGCUUGCACCUGGUGGCGAGUGGCGAACGGGUGAGUAAUACAUCGGAACAUGUCCUGUAGUGGGGGAUAGCCCGGCGAAAGCCGGAUUAAUACCGCAUACGAUCUACGGAUGAAAGCGGGGGCCCUUCGGGCCUCGCGCUAUAGGGUUGGCCGAUGGCUGAUUAGCUAGUUGGUGGGGUAAAGGCCUACCAAGGCGACGAGCAGGAGCUGGUCUGAGAGGACGAGCAGCAAGAAUGGGAGGGAGGCAAGACACAGACACAGAGGGGAGGAAGCAGGGGGGAAUUUGGGAGAAUGGGGGAAAGCGUGAUAUAGCAAGGCCGCGGGAGGGCAGAAGGAUUGAGGGUGGGGAAGUGAGGUGGUUGGGGAAGAAAUCAUCUGCGCUAAUAAGGGGGGGGGAGGACGGUACCGGAAGAAGAAGAAACGGCUAACUACGGG
Molecule: ribosomal RNA, 486 nt
Filed under: uncultured bacterium
Lineage: Bacteria
Description: partial 16S ribosomal RNA
Rfam family: Bacterial small subunit ribosomal RNA
Source: RNAcentral